Kogia breviceps (pygmy sperm whale) is the source of this 1095-nucleotide non-coding RNA. NCBI's taxonomy places the organism in Eukaryota, Metazoa, Chordata, Mammalia, Artiodactyla, Physeteridae. The record is from RefSeq and is a predicted model, not a curated record.
CGGGUGCAGUGGACUGCAACCUCUUACCGUUUCUUCACGCCUCCCCGAGUUUUUAAAGACCUGAAGUGGGCUCUGUCCUCUCAGGCCGGGAGUUUCCUACUCUGGGGGCUCUUCCUGCAGAACUCACCCACGCAAACUCCCCUUAGCCGCUGGUGGAAAAGGAGACUGAGGUGCAGUAAAAGGAAGUGAUUUUCGAAGGACACACUGGUCAUGAGAGGACCCCGCAAGCUUCUAUGACGUCUGCUCCUGACAUCCAAGCAUCAACAUCCUCAUGGCUCAAUGAUCCAGGACCACCUGAAGCCAAUGAUUCUCCUUCUGAUGUAUCAUCAGAAGGUCAACAGGAGCCUAACACUACGUCAGGAUGCCUAUAUCAUUCACCUCACUUCAUCUCAUCAUGUAGACAUUUUAUCAUCUCACAUCAUCACAAGAAGAAGAAGGCCUACUGGGAAGCCUGUCAUUCAACCCUUAGCAAUAAAACAGCCCUGCACGAAUAAAGAAAAAAUAAAUCAGAAGCCGUAUGCUUUUAAACUCACUAAAUGAAAACCCAGCAUGCAUGCUGCCUCCUUCCAAAUUAAUCACUGGGUUAAAUGCGAGAUGCACACCCCAAAUCAAUAGCUGGUAAGAUCUCCUGCCCGUGCCUCAGGAAAAUUCCACUUCCUUUCUGAUGUUGUCACUUGAAAUGUCAGGAAGUUUCCACUCAUCACCCACCCUUGGAAAGGCCACCAUCACCAUACUUCGUAUUUCCUGGCUGCCUUUCUUCAAAGGAAUCAAGGCAUCUUGCAGAGGGAGCCCACGCAUUGUCACAGACUCUCCUGGAGCUUGAAAGAAGAGCUGUGUGCAGAGAGGAGAAGUGUGGAGAUGCCUGCUUUAGACAGAAGAAGACCGAAGCAUAAAGAAGCCCAUGUUUUGUUCAAAAGUCCCAACGAGACAAGACUCAUAUACUCCCUUGGAUGGCAACAUGGCAUAGUGGGAAGAACACGGGUUUAGGAGUUUGAGAGACAUGGAUUUGAAUCUUGCCCCUAAAACCACUUCAUGCUUCACCUUUCUUAGCUAUAAAAAAAGAAGAGAUAAAAAUACUGUAUAUUACUAGCUGUG